This is a long non-coding RNA of Episyrphus balteatus (marmalade hoverfly), 568 nucleotides long. RefSeq lists it as uncharacterized. Lineage: Eukaryota; Metazoa; Arthropoda; Insecta; Diptera; Syrphidae. The record is from RefSeq and is a predicted model, not a curated record. The transcript has 2 exons.
UCUUCGUUUAUUUGAUGUUGGAUAAUUUACUUCUUUGCAUUCCAAUGAACAAACAUUUCCAAAGAAAAUGCAACCUAAUCUGGUGGACUUUACUCUGAUCUGGUCAAGACAAGACACAAAAAAAAAAAGAAUAAUUCAAUUUCUGACAUUUUUACACCUCCAUUCAAGGUUGAAUGUCAAUUUCCACCACACAAACUGUCAUUUCAAACAAAAUUUUCUAUUUCAAAUGAAUCAGCAGCACGUACUUUAGUAAAAAAAAAAAAUGCACUUCGUGGCUUUCGGACUUUGUUUGGGGUACAACAAAAGGGAACUCUCAUAUAUGUAUGAGUUGAGUAUGUAAAUCUAAAGAAAGAGAGAUAGUCCGCCCAUUCGAAGAAGUGAACAUUGAACACGCCAACACGUAUCGGUGAUUGACCCUAAACAUUACAGACAAAUAUAAAUAUGUACUAUACGCUCGGAAGCGUCUUCAUAAACCGCUUCACUUAUAAAAGUAUAAAGGUAUACUAACUCGUAUAUUGAUUUUGUUUUUUUUUUUACUCAAUGUAAUAAAUAUUAUUAUUAUUUUUUA